Molecule: ribosomal RNA, 514 nt
Filed under: uncultured bacterium
Lineage: Bacteria
Description: bacterial SSU rRNA
Rfam family: Bacterial small subunit ribosomal RNA
Source: RNAcentral
CGCUGGCGGCGUGCCUAAUACAUGCAAGUCGAACGCACUCUCGUUUAGAUUGAAGGAGCUUGCUCCUGAUUGAUAAACAUUUGAGUGAGUGGCGGACGGGUGAGUAACACGUGGGUAACCUGCCCUAAAGUGGGGAUAACAUUUGGAAACAGAUGCUAAUACCGCAUAAAACCUAACACCGCAUGGUGUAGGGUUGAAAGAUGGUUUCGGCUAUCACUUUAGGAUGGACCCGCGGUGCAUUAGUUAGUUGGUGAGGUAAAGGCUCACCAAGACCGUGAUGCAUAGCCGACCUGAGAGGGUAAUCGGCCACACUGGGACUGAGACACGGCCCCAGACUCCUACGGGAGGCAGCAGUAGGGAAUCUUCCACAAUGGACGAAAGUCUGAUGGAGCAACGCCGCGUGAGUGAAGAAGGUUUUCGGAUCGUAAAACUCUGUUGUUGGAGAAGAAUGUAUCUGAUAGUAACUGAUCAGGUAGUGACGGUAUCCAACCAGAAAGCCACGGCUAACUACGUG